AAGGUGUUAGUAAACUUACAUGAGUAUGGUAGUAAGAUGGAAAUGCAUAAAUGUGAUUAAUUGUAAAAAUUAAGUGAGUUAGGGUUUUGGGACUUAGGAUUUGUGAACUAAAAAUGCAAGAAAUGAGUAAAUGGCAUGUUUGACCUAUUGUGAAGUGAAAAAUGGUCAAUUGUGACCAAAUGAGUUGUGUUUGAAUUGUUGGAAGUGAAGCCAAAUUCGGAGGUUGAAUGGUCAUGCUGCUGGCAGCAUGACCAAGUCAACUUUGAAGGACCAAAACUGAAAUUUUACAAGUCCAAUUGAUAUGGCACCAAUUGGGGAUGAAAUUAGACAUAAAAUGACACAAUUUUCAUUCAGGAACCAUGCCCAAAAAGUGACCAAAACUUAGUGAACCAAUUGACCAAAGUUGAAUAAGAGCAGUCUGCCACUGUACAAACUGAUCAAAUAAACAGUGUUUGUUCAUUUGGUCAUAACUCGAGUUAGACAGGUCCAAAUGACCUGAAAUUUUACCAGUGGUUAGAUGAGAUAUAGACCUAAAACUUUCAUGAAGAACACAAGUCCAAAUUCUGCCAGAAACUAAGUCAUUUGGCCACCCCAAGUUGGUGACUCAAAUCUGCCAGCACCAAAUUUACCCAGAAAAUCUGGGUUGUUUUCAAUCCGGCAACCCUAGUUCAAAUGGCCAUAACUUGAGCUACAAAACUCCAAUUGAGGUGAUCCAAAAAUGAGAAUAAACUUAAGACAUUAAGGAACAUUUUCUAUGAAGGAAGUUUUUCCAAAUUCCAACAGUAAAAUUGUCAAUGGAACAGUGCAACUAGGAGCACCAAAACUGAAAAUUUGACAAUUUAGCCAAAAGGACUUAAGCCUUGAGAAAAUGACCAAAACCAACAAAUUUAAUGAUCAAAAUGUGGUAUGUGGGUGAAGUUGGAGUUCCCAUACCUAUUAAGCCUUAAAAAGUCAACAAUUUGACUUGAAUAGUGUAGUGAAUAGUAACCUGAAAUACAAAAACUUCGAGAACGUCGGAAUUAGUACAUUAAAGCUAGGUAAAAAUGAAGUGAAAUUUAUUUUUGGAUUUAUGCUAAGUUAUGGUACUGAAACACUGUGAAAUUGUGUUUCAGCUGAAAAAGACUUGGAAACUCGAAGAGACUGAGUCAAGGCCUAAAGGCGACUCACGUCAGAUAAGAGCAAGGAGAAAGCAGCAGAGUGAGCUGCUAUCGAAUUGUGGACUACAUCGAUCAUUUUGUACGGGUAUUAUUUUAUACCCUUGUAGAUAAUUUUAAUGUAAAUAUGGAAAUGUUGUAUGUAUCAAUAUAAAGUUGAGCAGUUGUAAAUAAAUUGUAAUAAUAUUAUUUUUUUGGAUUUCCUUCUGUAAAUUAAUAUUUGUACUUAUGAAUUUCUUACUUUA
Long non-coding RNA from Hevea brasiliensis (rubber tree), 1399 nucleotides. RefSeq lists it as uncharacterized. Lineage: Eukaryota; Viridiplantae; Streptophyta; Magnoliopsida; Malpighiales; Euphorbiaceae. The record is from RefSeq and is a predicted model, not a curated record. The transcript has 2 exons.